CCAUGACGAUUCAAAAAGUCUCUACCAAUGAUAAGAUCUGUCGUCAAAACGUUAUCUUGCAAGACAUGCAAAGAAAUCGGCAGUUUCAAAUGUGGCAACUGACUGAACGAAAUCAAGAUUUAUGAACGAUAUCGGACUACCGGUAUCAAGCAGAGCUGACAGCAAGCAAACUGAACUCUCUAGGAAUAUGACUUUUAACGGCGCGUCGUGAAAGUGAAUAGAUUUCGGACUAGAAUUUACGAACGCUAUCGUUGAUGGCUUGUCGACUUCCACCGAAAAAACAGAUGAAGACGAUGGCGUCGCUGCUGCUGAGUUGGUUUCCUUUGGCGCUGUUUUUGGUGGCAGCCUCCUUGGUCUUGGGAGCCUUCAGAUCUGCAGUAGAUUUCCUGUCUAGAUCUGCGGAAACGGAAGUAAUCUGAUGCAUUGCGUCCAAAAAUUUAUCAACUGAUUCAGACCUCAACGCAGCGGCUGUCUCGCUUAGUGAACGAUUAAGAAUGCCGCUGAUAAUCAAGUGAAUUGCGCUG
Long non-coding RNA from Pseudomyrmex gracilis, 524 nucleotides. RefSeq lists it as uncharacterized. The record is from RefSeq and is a predicted model, not a curated record. Lineage: Eukaryota; Metazoa; Arthropoda; Insecta; Hymenoptera; Formicidae. The transcript is spliced from 3 exons.